CUAUAAUAGCUGGGUCGUGGUGCUUUAUUGCAGUGCAAUAAAGUUAAACGGGAAACACUAAACGUGUGCUGCCCCCGCAACGGUAAGUAAAUGCGCCCUUAAGCUGCAAUUUUGGGUGUCAGGAGUCUGAAUGAGCCACUGUGCGCGUCAAUUGCAUGGGAAGGCCAGAUUCUGAGAUUUACUAGCCCGGAUACCGGCCAAGACAGGUGGAAUUUU
RNAcentral lists this non-coding RNA (216 nucleotides) under Polynucleobacter sp. The record is from RNAcentral. Lineage: Bacteria; Pseudomonadati; Pseudomonadota; Betaproteobacteria; Burkholderiales; Burkholderiaceae.